RNAcentral lists this ribosomal RNA (247 nucleotides) under uncultured bacterium. RNAcentral describes it as "partial 16S ribosomal RNA". It matches the Rfam family "Bacterial small subunit ribosomal RNA", at positions 523 to 769 of the family's 1533-position model. The record is from RNAcentral.
AUACGUAGGUGGCGAGCGUUGUCCGGAAUUACUGGGCGUAAAGGGUGCGUAGGCGGUAAGAUAAGUCAGAUGUGAAAUUCCGGGGCUUAACCUCGGAAUUGCAUUUGAAACUGUGUUACUAGAGUGCAGGAGAGGAAAGCGGAAUUCCUAGUGUAGCGGUGAAAUGCGUAGAUAUUAGGAAGAACACCAGUGGCGAAGGCGGCUUACUGGUCCAUUACUGACGCUGAGGUGCGAAAGCGUGGGGAGC